GACGAACGCUGGCGGCGUGCCUAAUACAUGCAAGUUGAGCGCUGAAGGUUGGUACUUGUACCCACUGGAUGAGCAGCGCACGGGUGAGUAACGCGUGGGUAAUCUGCCUUUGAGCGGGGGACAACAUUUGGAAACGAAUGCUAAUACCGCAUAAAAACUUUAAACACAAGUUUUAAGUUUGAAAGAUGCAAUUGCAUCACUCAAAGAUGAUCCCGCGUUGUAUUAGCUAGUUGGUGAGGUAAAGGCUCACCAAGGCGAUGAUACAUAGCCGACCUGAGAGGGUGAUCGGCCACAUUGGGACUGAGACACGGCCCAAACUCCUACGGGAGGCAGCAGUAGGGAAUCUUCGGCAAUGGACGAAAGGCUGACCGAGCAACGCCGCGUGAGUGAAGAAGGUUGUCGGAUCGUAAAACUCGGUUGGUAGAGAAGAACGUUGGUGAGAGUGGAAAGCUCAUCAAGUGACGGUAACUACCCAGAAAGGGACGGCUAACUACGUG
RNAcentral lists this ribosomal RNA (497 nucleotides) under uncultured bacterium. Its description in RNAcentral is "partial 16S ribosomal RNA". It matches the Rfam family "Bacterial small subunit ribosomal RNA", at positions 28 to 507 of the family's 1533-position model. The record is from RNAcentral.